This 494-nucleotide ribosomal RNA is filed under the name uncultured bacterium. RNAcentral describes it as "partial 16S ribosomal RNA". It matches the Rfam family "Bacterial small subunit ribosomal RNA", at positions 28 to 507 of the family's 1533-position model. The record is from RNAcentral.
GACGAACGCUGGCGGCGUGCUUAACACAUGCAAGUCGAACGGAAAGGCCUGCUUUCCCUUGUGGAUUGCGGGUACUCGAGUGGCGAACGGGUGAGUAACACGUGAGUGAUCUGCCCCCAACUUGGGUAUAAGCCUGGGAAACUGGGCCUAAUUCCCGAUAGGACUGCAGGGUGGUGCCUGUGGUGGAAAACGAUUUUCUAGUGGUUGGGGAUGAGCUCGCGGCCUAUCAGCUUGUUGGUGGGGUAAUGGCCUACCAAGGCGGCGACGGGUAGCCGGCCUGGGAGGGUGGACGGCCACAUUGGGACUGAGAUACGGCCCAGACGCCUACGGGAGGCAGCAGUGGGGAAUAUGACACAAUGGGCGGAAGCCUGAUGCAGCGACGCCGCGUGGGGGAUGACGGCCUUCGGGUUGUAAACUCCUUUCGACCGCGAGGAAGCCACCUGGUUGGAAGGGUGGUGACGGUAGUGGUAGAAGAAGCACCGGCUAACUACGUG